AAAGUUAGAGGUUCGAAGGCGAUCAGAUACCGCCCUAGUUCUAACCAUAAACGAUGCCAGCCAGCGAUCCGGCUGUGUUCCUCAAAUGACACGCCGCGCAGCUUCCGGGAAACCAAAGCUUUUGGGUUCCGGGGGAAGUAUGGUUGCAAAGCUGAAACUUAAAGGAAUUGACGGAAGGGCACCACCAGGAAUGGAGCCUGCGGCUUAAUUUGACUCAACACGGGAAAACUUACCCGGCCCGGACACAGGAAGGAUUGACAGAUUAAGAGCUCUUUCUUGAUUCUGUGGCAGGUGGUGCAUGGCCGUUUUUAGUUGGUGGAGCGAUUUGUCUGGUCAAUUCCGAUAACGAACGAGACUCUAGCCUACUAAAUAGACGUUCCGAUCCUUAGUCGGACGUUCUUCUUAGAGGGACAAGCGGCGUUUAGCUGCACGAGACAGAGCAAAAACAGGUCUGUUAUGCCCUUAGAUGUCCGGGGCCGCACGCGCGCUACAUUGAAGGAAUCAACGUGUGCUUUCCCUUUCAGACAUGAAUGGGUAACCCGUUGAACCUCCUUCGUGCUGGGGAUUGGAGAUUGUAAUUGUUCUCCAUGAACGAGGAAUUCCCAGUAAGCACGAGUCAUUAGCUUGUGUUGAUUACGUCCCUGCCCUUUGUCCACACCGCCCGUCGCUAAUACCGAUUGAAUGAUUUAGUGAGGUUUUUGGAUUGGCUGUUCGUAGCGGGACGCAAUGUCCCGCGCCGGCGUGCUGAAAAGAUAACCAAACUUGAUCAUU
Molecule: ribosomal RNA, 771 nt
Filed under: Lathys alberta
Lineage: Eukaryota; Metazoa; Arthropoda; Arachnida; Araneae; Dictynidae
Description: SSU rRNA
Rfam family: Eukaryotic small subunit ribosomal RNA
Source: RNAcentral